UUGUGAAUUAUGAAAAGGAAAAUUCUAAUUCUUUCCUUGUAAUCACACUCUCUCAGGUUUGGAGAAAUCCCACGGUGCAGGAGGACCGAAGCAAUUGUGUAUCUGUGGAUUAAGGGUGCCUGUCAGCAGGGUGCCCCCUCAGGAGCCCUGCCCACCUAGAGGGCCACCAAGAGUUAUUUCAUGAGAGUGUCCGGAAUGCAGCUGAGCUGCAGGAUGUCAGAUAAAACUCCCACACCAAGAAAGAAGCAGAGGCAGCGUGCCUCCCAUCUCUUCCCUGGGGAGGGCCCUGGAGAAGGCUGGACUUUAUCCGAGACCGUGAUGAAUUACACUAUCUGGGCUUAUGAGAAAGAAAGGACAAAGGCUUUUGGGCAAGAUAUUGGGAUUGGAGAGAAGCCCGGAAUGCAGACAGGACUGGAGGCAGGAGACACCAUAGCCCUUUCAAGCAGAGCACAGGACUCUAACCUCCCUUACACGGAAAACUGAGCUCCUAUCAAUGGGCCUGGGAUGACAAGCUAACCAGCAUUCACAGCUCACUCCUGUUUCAUGGCCACGGACGACUGAAAAAUUCCCUAUACGUACAGCAAUGUCGGCUCUCUCCCAGCAUCUACCUCUACCACCGACUGUUUCAAAUUUAAUCUUGGCAAUUUCGGUUCUUUCUUUCGGGCUAUUAAAAAUCUGUGUGCAUCUUGAUUCAACCCCUUCAUUUUUACUUAAGGGGAGUUACUGAAGGAUUUGCCAAAGG
Molecule: long non-coding RNA, 742 nt
Filed under: Mustela putorius furo (domestic ferret)
Lineage: Eukaryota; Metazoa; Chordata; Mammalia; Carnivora; Mustelidae
Description: lncRNA (ENSMPUG00000026896.1)
Source: RNAcentral